GUUGGGGAUAUCGAGGCGUACAUAAGGCAAUAAUUUGUGGAAGGGUUGGGCAAGCCCCUGUGCAGAAGAUCUUGAGAAAUGGGCGCACGAUAACAAUCUUGACAGUUGGAACAGGAGGGAUGUUUGACCAACGAAUUGUUGAAGCAAAAGAUCUGCCAAAGCCUGCUCAGUGGCAUCGUAUUGCUGUGCAUAAUGAAUCACUUGGUGCUCUUGCAGUUCAACAACUUGUUAAAAAUGCAUCAGUUUAUAUUGAGGGU
This 257-nucleotide unclassified non-coding RNA is filed under the name Hevea brasiliensis (rubber tree). Lineage: Eukaryota; Viridiplantae; Streptophyta; Magnoliopsida; Malpighiales; Euphorbiaceae. The record is from RNAcentral.